GUCCCCGUAGCUCAGUUAGAUCAGAGCGCCACCGUGCGAAGGCGGAAGUUCGUCGUGCAAAUCCACGUGGGAGCGCCA
This 78-nucleotide transfer RNA is filed under the name Acidobacteriota bacterium. RNAcentral's name for it is "Acidobacteria bacterium tRNA-Arg". Lineage: Bacteria; Pseudomonadati; Acidobacteriota. The record is from RNAcentral.